UGUUGAAACUCCUCAGCAACCUCGGUCCAGCUUUCUCAUCAAUAGAUCAGACCAGUGGCACCAGUGGAAAUGAUUCCUUAGAUCAGACCGGUGGUACCAGUGGAAAUGAUUCCUUAGAUCAGACCGGUGGCACCAGUGGAAAUGAUUCCUUGGAUCAGACCGGUGGUACCAGUGGAAAUGAUUCCUUAAUCCACAAUGCAAGAAAAACCACAAAGCUACAGGACCUAGGACUUGAAAAUGAAUACCUCAAUAGCGGGGACACAGACAUCAACUUUACGUUGACCCAUUCCACAAUUCAGUGUUUUUUUUGGAUGUCCUAAUGACUGUAGAAAAUGGAUGGCUGACAACAGACUUAUUUACAAAGGAGACAGACAGGAACACACUUCUGAGUGGGUUCAUGGGAUAAAACUGC
This is a long non-coding RNA of Hyla sarda, 412 nucleotides long. RefSeq lists it as uncharacterized. The record is from RefSeq and is a predicted model, not a curated record. The transcript is spliced from 4 exons. NCBI's taxonomy places the organism in Eukaryota, Metazoa, Chordata, Amphibia, Anura, Hylidae.